Molecule: ribosomal RNA, 444 nt
Filed under: uncultured bacterium
Lineage: Bacteria
Description: bacterial SSU rRNA
Rfam family: Bacterial small subunit ribosomal RNA
Source: RNAcentral
UAAGGACCCGCUUGCGGGUCACACGAGUGGCGUACGGGUNCGUAACGCGUAUGCAACCUACCUUCAACUGGAGCAUAGCCCCGAGAAAUCCGGGAUUAAUACUCCAUAACAUCCAGCUUUCGCAUGUUAGCUGGAUUAAAGUCCCGACGGUUGAAGAUGGGCAUGCGUGACAUUAGUUUGUUGGGUGAGGUAACGGCUCACCAAGACCACGAUGUCUAGGGGGUUCUGAGAGGAUUAUCCCCCCACACUGGUACUGAGACACGGACCAGACUCCUACGGGAGGCAGCAGUAAGGAAUAUUGGUCAAUGGACGAAAGUCUGAACCAGCCAUGCCGCGUGCAGGAUGACAGCCCUAUGGGUUGUAAACUGCUUUUAUAUGGGAAGAAUCCCCCGUACGUGUACGGGGUUGACGGUACCGUAUGAAUAAGCAUCGGCUAACUCCGUG